UGUUUUUGUUUUUUGAGGCAGGGUCUUGCCAUGUAGUUCAGGCUGGACUUGGACUCACUGUGUAGCCCAAGCUGGCCUCAAACUCAUGGCAGUCUUCCUGCCUCAGCCUC
Fukomys damarensis (Damara mole-rat) is the source of this 110-nucleotide microRNA precursor. The record is from Ensembl. NCBI's taxonomy places the organism in Eukaryota, Metazoa, Chordata, Mammalia, Rodentia, Bathyergidae.